CAGGUUUUCAUAACUAAAAUACAUCAAUCUUUGCAAAUAAAUGAAAAUUUGUUCUCUAACUAAUAUAUUUAUAGUAAAAUUUUUCUCCACAGCAACUCAAAUAACAAAUCCAAUCACAAUCACAAUCACAAUCACAACCUUCUUAGCAGCAAAUAAUAAGAAUUUAGAAAUCAAGAAACAUGGCCCAGAAAUAAUCAAC
This 199-nucleotide long non-coding RNA is filed under the name Manihot esculenta (cassava). Its description in RNAcentral is "long non-coding RNA (MESC_LNC009287)". The record is from RNAcentral. Lineage: Eukaryota; Viridiplantae; Streptophyta; Magnoliopsida; Malpighiales; Euphorbiaceae.